This is a long non-coding RNA of Cebus imitator (Panamanian white-faced capuchin), 2150 nucleotides long. RefSeq lists it as uncharacterized. The record is from RefSeq and is a predicted model, not a curated record. The transcript has 2 exons. NCBI's taxonomy places the organism in Eukaryota, Metazoa, Chordata, Mammalia, Primates, Cebidae.
UGGUAUGCCAAUAAACACUUUCGUUCUUCGGCUAUGUGUUUAUUCUUAAUUUCAGGAGAUUUUCAGAUGUGUAGCAGGAGGGCUAUGGGAAUCUUCAUGGCCCUCCAUACCCCUGUUCCAUUACACUCCUGGCUAUGACCUGUCACAUAGUUGCUCUGUGCCGCUUUGAUUGAUAGCACAGUGUACCUUGUCUUGGUUGGUGUUCAUGCUUACAGAGAAAGACUUGCCAACAUCAGGAUUUGUAACCAGAAAGGGUGUUGAAAACAUAUCCUCGAAAUCAGGCUAUCAAAUGUUAGAAGAAAACCUUUCAGACCUAGAAUCAGUUAUGGAGAAGAAAGAUGAUAAACAGUUCCAGAAACUAUAAAUGGCCAGCUUCUAAGCCACAACUUGUCUUUGUACACACCGAUGUAUACAUAAUACGGCAAAGUUUUAUGUGCAACUGAGGGUGUGGCAUUUAUGAUUCAGAAAGAAUGAGUUUGUGCAGAUGGAAAUGGGCAUUUGGGUGGGGAUUAGGCAAGGACAGAAUUAUAAUGCAAGCCAGGUGGAUGGUAACACCUCUUUUUGUCUAUACCAAAACUAUUCAGAAAAAACUGUAUCCAUAAGACUGACUUUUUGUGAUGACUAAAUACAUAGAAUCAUUUAAGUAUACAACUUAAGAAAAAAUCAGGAGUAGAAGUCAUCCACAGAUGAGUACUCCAGGUUUUAGAGGAAAAAAAAUGUAAAUGAACAUUUCAAUUGGGUAAAUCAGUUUCUCAGUGAGAGCCUUCUCAACCUCAUCUUGCCAGAUGACAAAUGACUAUCUAUUAUUGUUAAAGUUUGUGGCAAAAGGACAGCCAAAUUGAUUCAGCAUCAACUAAGCGUGGAAAAAAAUGUAGCUGCAAAAACAAAAACAAAAACAGAUUUCUGGCUGCUGUCCUCAAAAGCCUCCCACACAGACGAUGUUCCUGACAGGAUCAACAAAUGCUCCAUUUCACUGUCCCACAGCGCAGCUUCGGCCAUCAGCCACUGACUGGCUUGGGCCAGAAGUAGUUUUGGUCUCUGUGACAGUGACUUCCUUGCUCUGCUCUGAACGAGUGACCUUUCUGUGAAAGUAGGUGUCCUGGUUCUAGGGCUAAUCCCAAUGCCAUCCCACAACAUUUCAGUGUGCCUGGCACCAUACCUGGCACCAUACCUGGCAAGCAGCGAGCUCCUGACGCUUGGAAGUGCUAAUGCUGUUCCAGACAUCUGUAAGCAAGUCGGAUCAGCCAGAUUCCAUCACGUGAGACACCUUGGAGGACAAAGCCACAUUGUGUGGAGGAAGACACACCACCGUUCAGACCCAAAGUCGUCCUGCUUUCUCCUGCACUCCGUCUCCCCUAGUGCCAGAAUGCGGGGAUGAUAACUGGUGUUGAAGUGAUGCACUGGGGCUUUGAGGUGCCUCCCCCACCCUGGCCUCGCGCUGGCAAGUGAGAACCAAGCCCGCGCUAACUUCACAGUUCUCGGCCCGUGGAAGCGCAGGCCACCUGGGCUCCAGCAAACACCAGACGUGUAAUUAGAGGCUCCUGGGCUGGGAUAAUGUGGUGCACAGACAAGUCUUAUCACGCGUCUGAGCCUCUGUGGGUGCCCAGAGUUGCCUCUGCAGCCCGGAGCGGGUGAGUGGAGGCUCCUGUGACUCAUCCAACUGCAGGAACUGUCAACUGGCUUCUGCCCAGCCAAGAACUUUUAUCAAUCACUAAGUAGAGACACUGUGUACAAGGACACUGGUUCAUCCAAGAACAUCAGGACAGCCAGGAAUUUAAAACAUACAAAACACCGCUUCCUGCAUGCUGCACCCCAGGCAGCUCUGAGGCUCAGCCCAAGGAAGAUUUGGGGCUCGGGCCAGAAAGACACGAUUAACUCUGACUUACACAAGAGGGGAGUGUACAAAAGUCAUGCAGUCCCAGGGGAAGGCACUGGGCUAAACCCUCAUGACUGUAAAAUGAAGAAAUAUGCAUGAAGCAUGACUAGGGUGUUUGACGAGGACCCAGAGUUAUGUCCAAGGAAUGAAGGCGCUGCCUUCAACAGAGCAAAAUGUCAAGUUAACUGAUAACAAAUACAUUCCACAGGACUGGUCUCUGAGUGAGACAACUUUUUUAGUGGGGAAAAAAAGAACAAAUAAAUGUGUUUCCGGA